Molecule: non-coding RNA, 45 nt
Organism: Homo sapiens (human)
Lineage: Eukaryota; Metazoa; Chordata; Mammalia; Primates; Hominidae
Source: Rfam
AGAAAGGCUUUAUUCAGAGCCACUCAUAUACUGAGAACUAACCUC